Molecule: long non-coding RNA, 2095 nt
Organism: Zea mays
Lineage: Eukaryota; Viridiplantae; Streptophyta; Magnoliopsida; Poales; Poaceae
Exons: 2
Source: RefSeq, a predicted model, not a curated record
AGAUUUGUUUUUGUAUUAAAAACGAAUUUCUAAUAUUAUUUCUCUGUUUUUAAUCUCCUCUGGACUGGGCCUCGAUUUCCAGAGAAGUCAGGGGCCCAGGCGCAAUAAUAACCCAGACACAUAACACUGCAGAGGUGGAUGGCGGGUUGGUUUUAACUAAAUCGAGGGGCCUUUGUGUUAAACUACGCCCGCGAAGGGGUAUGGAAAGGCUUCGGCCGUUGGAUCACCAGUGUGCGGCCCAGAUUAGAUCGCUAUUCGCUACGAAGCGGCAUGGAAUCGGGCCAUCGGAUCAACGUUCAACGGUUAAGAUUAAAAUACACCCGAUCCGAUCCAGUCCAUACGUCGACGAUCCAACGGUCAGGACGAGAUCAGGCCGAGGCGGUGAAUUCUACCUAAUCUACACCGUCCAUCCUCAAUCAGACGGUCGACGGUCAUUUCCUUCAAAUGCUACCGACGGCGGCGGCGCAAUCCCACGCACGGCGGCGCCCCGGACCGGAAGAUCAAUCCGCGCCCUCAGGCGGCCACCACCUAAUUCGGCCUAGCUACAUGAUGUCCUAUAUCCGACGAAUGCAAUGAACGGUCGAGUACCUCACAAUUAGAUGCAGACGAUCCCGUCCACGGCGAGCGGCGGAUCGGUUGAGCUCCGGCGAAGGAUUGCUUGCACUCCGGUGAGUCUACGAUCACAGCGACGCCACACCAGUAUCCCCCACGGAACAACGAAGGCCUAACUCUGAUUUCCGAGGCGAACGCGGCGACGAGGACGAUGUUCACCGGCGGCGCUCUGUCUCCUUUCUUCCCUCACCUGUGGCGGCUAUGGUGGUUUAGGGGUUAGCGACGCGAGAGGCCUAGGAGCUGUCGCAGCGAAGAACGAUCGUGGCCCGAGUCUUAUCACCCUGCACGGUCACCCGCGUCGUGCGUGCGAGAAUCGCGCCAGCGGCACGUCUGCCAUAGUCGCGUUCCAUUGAGAGGAAGGCGCUGACCAAACGGGUCCACGGUCCAGCGUGAUUACUCAGUGUGGGCGUGCGUAGAGCACACGAGACCAACUGGUGGGCCCGAUCAGCAGCUGUGAGCGCGCGGCGAAGGGAACACUUGGGCUGGCGCGCGCGGUAAAAUGGGGAGAUGGGCCGAACUGAGGUUGAGCCGGCCCAAGCGGCAUUUUAACCUUUUCCUUUUUCUUUUCUUUAUUCCUUUCACUUUUCUUUUUCAAAUUUAAAUUUUCAUUUCACCUUUUAGAUUUCAAAUUCAAAUUUGAAUUUCAGUUAUGGAUUUGUACUUAUAUCGAAUGUGCCAAUUUACAUUCGGAGUUGAAGAGAAUAUAUCUAUGUGUAAAUUUAUUCCCUAUGUUUUAUGUGGUAUUUCUUUUCUUUUCAAAACCCUAUUUUCAAGUUUAGGGUUUAAUUCAACUUCUAGUAAUUAUUAUCUUAUUAUCAUUAUUAUUUUAUUGAUGUGCAAUCAUAUAAAACUCCAACUUGAUGCAUGUCCCUUUUAUUUCGGUAUCCUUUGUUUCGAUUCAUCAUUAAAUUUUAUGUAGGCUCUUUGAAGAUGCAAAUGAGGCACACAAAAUUGAGGAGAUCUCUCUAUUAUUCUUUGUAUACAACUUUGAGUAUUACACAUGGAAAUGCAGGUAGACAUGGAGCCCUUUCCAGUGAACAUGAUCGACUUCGUGGGCAAAAAGGUCAUAAUUCGGUCUAGCACAACCAAUAAGGAAAAGGGCCAAGAUGUCAUCAUCGACAACGCACGGGAGGCCAAUGAAGGUAAUAAAGUUUCCUGCAGGAAAGUAGUGGCGGAAAAGACUCCUGAUGGAGGGGAGACCCUGAAGGUGACCAUCACAACCUCCGUCACUAGGGGGCAAGCACAGACAAAGGGACAAGCGCGGGAACCCGUGCUGCGCAUCACGGACGGUCUGGCAUCCAGACGCGGACGAUCCGAAGCUUCUCCGGACGGUCCAAAACAUUCCAUCGAACGGUCCAGCUACACUCAAGACUCACAACGACCACGUACAUUCAAACCACGAUGACCAGAGAUAGGUACAUGGAAAACAAAUACAUUUAAAGCAGUUGGUCGGCUGGUCAAAACCGGCCCGACCUUCGUUCAA